AUUUAUUUAGUAUAAUAAGUACUUUUGAUUUCCAAUCAAAAAGUCUAAUAAUUAGAAUAAAUA
RNAcentral lists this transfer RNA (63 nucleotides) under Phyllothelys shaanxiense. RNAcentral's name for it is "tRNA-Gly". The record is from RNAcentral. Lineage: Eukaryota; Metazoa; Arthropoda; Insecta; Mantodea; Hymenopodidae.